UCCGAUUUCUUUCCUGCGCUAUCGAUUUGCUCAGGGAAAGAAGAAAAUCAUCAUCAUAGCCUCAGAAUUUUUGCAACAAUUAUUAUUAUUAUCAUUACUACUACUAUUGAUUCUCACUUUGGGGUUGAGAAUUUCGAGAGAACAAGCAAAGAUUUAGGGGUCAUUUGGUAGUUGUUCAACUGAAAAGGGCUGUUGAAUUUAUAUUUUUUCACAGCAAAAAUUGAAAUCACAGGUAUUGCAAAGAGGAGCAACAGCCCUUUGAAGUGUUCCCCUCUGCUCUCUGCAAUCCUCAUUAUUUGUCUCUGAGCUAAGCUUUUUUCCUUUAACGGACAAACUCGCAGACGCAACAACAAUAACAACAACAACAAAACCCAGUGUAAUCUCACUCCAAAGAUUGUUUCAGACACACUUUCAGCAAAUGAAACAAUGAGGCUCAGAUCUGUAGUACUUACAACACGGCAAGAGAGACUGGAAUCACCGCCAUGGCUGCAAGCACCAGUUCUGAUAUACUUCCAUCCGGGUUGCCUCGCCAAGAUACGGGUCCAAUUGCUCUCCCGCAUUGUCCAUUUGCUCAGAGAAAGAAGAAAAUCAUCAUCACAGCCUCAUAAUUUUCCCAUCAAUUAUUACUACUACUACUACUAUUGAUUAUCCCUUUGGAUUUGAGAAAUUGGAGAGAACAAGCAUAUUGCUGUUUAACAGCAAAAGGGCUAGUAAAGAUUCUUUUUUUCACAGCAAAAAUGAAAUCACAG
Molecule: long non-coding RNA, 749 nt
Filed under: Solanum tuberosum (potato)
Lineage: Eukaryota; Viridiplantae; Streptophyta; Magnoliopsida; Solanales; Solanaceae
Description: long non-coding RNA (STUB_LNC006919)
Source: RNAcentral